Molecule: long non-coding RNA, 1393 nt
Filed under: Felis catus (domestic cat)
Lineage: Eukaryota; Metazoa; Chordata; Mammalia; Carnivora; Felidae
Description: lncRNA (ENSFCAG00000047948.1)
Source: RNAcentral
AUGUCUGGCCUGAAGCUUAGAGAAGCCGGUUCCACGGGGAGAAGCCAGCGGGACUGCCUUUGGACUCCAGAGUCUGAACUGGCUCCCCAAUCCGUCGCUGCCUCUCAGUGUGCGCUUAAUAGACAUUUAUGGAAUACUUCUUACUGGCCACCUGUUGGCCGGAAUAAGCUGGUCCCCGCGCGUGCUUGUUUCUCAGGUGUCUAUACUGGGGUGAAUCUGAAGACAGACCUUUGGAUCUGUGAUCUUUGGAUCGGUGGUCUGGAUGUUCAACAUCAGGGAUGUCUCAAGCACCUGGUCAUAAAAGUUAAUGGAGCCCCCCCUUCUCGUGUCUGGAGUCGCCAGAUGGAACACGGACGCCCAGUGAAAUCUGAAUGUCAGAUAGACAAGAAAUGACGUUUUCAUGUAAGUAUGUUCCCGGUAUUACUGCUUUCCCCUCCCUCUCUUAGCUUAGAGUCAUUGUUGUUUUUGCAAAUAACCUUUCUACGUUGGAAUGACCAAUCUAAUUGCUGAGAAGCAGCAGACGUAAUACUUGGGAGUUCUCGGGUCCCCUUUGCCCAAAGUGAGCAUCUUACGGGGAUCACAGCCCACGGCACAUUUGUCCACACCGAGAAAUUGACGGUGGGACGGUGUUAUUGACUAACUCAGACCUCAUUAGGAUGCGCCUGCGGAUUUUCCCCCAAACUUUCUCUUUCGGUUCCGGGAUGGGACCUGGCAUUUAGUCCUCACGACGGCCCGGUCUCGUCUGGUCUGUGACACUUUCUUUGCUUUUCUCAUGACCUUAGCAGAAUUUUGGAGCACUGGCCAGGUAACUCCACCCCCACCCCCACCCCCACCCCCAGGACGUCCAAACGUCCCCCGGUCUGGGAUUAUCUGAUGUUUUCUUGGGAUUAGACUGGGAGCUGGGUAUUUUGGAGAGAAAACUACCCAGAGGUGGGAGGGGGUGGGGUGGCACAUCCCCUCAUUCCAGUGGUACUUGCCCUGCACACGACUGGUCGCCGUGAUGCCGACCCUGUGCUUUGUGGCCGGGGGCACCGAAUGAACAUUUCGCAAGCGCCUUUUGGAGCCAGAGGGAGUUUCAGUUCCUUGACACCAGAAUAUGACGAGAGCAGUCGGUCAGGCCCCGGGAUGCAAGCCCCUUCCAGGGGUUGCUUGGCCGGAAGACGGAGAAAAGGGGUAUAAAGAGCUUUGCCAGCUGCAGAGCCUGGAACCCCGGGAUGGUCCUCUGAUCUUCUUCCUACACGGUUCCCCGAGGGGGGUGCUUUACAGCCUCGGUGGAGGGAUGAGUGGCAGGUGCUUCCAAGAGACACGUCUGAAGCAUGCUUCUCUCGAACACAGCCUGUAGAACAUGGACUGGGCCAUUUUCAUGCUCGGACUUGAUUGACCCGGCACAGCA